UGCCCAGGUUAAUUGAAGUGGGGGAUCCAUCCACCUGGGCCACCUGAUGGAGUGUUGACUCUCAUUUAAGCACAGAAAGGGACAAACCGCGGCUUUGAAAGAUUACCCGGCUGUGGCUCGGCGUAUGCAGCUCACGCGGGGAUCUACGUCGGCUACAUUCUGCUUUCAUAUCGUAGUUUCAGCAGAAAAGAGGAAAAGAAGAGAAAAGAGGAAAACAAAGACAAGGAUAAAGGAGGCAAAAAAACUACAAAAAGACAUUAAUAAGAACACAUCGAGACACUAGACAAAAAAACUGAAGAUAUCAAGGCACAA
Molecule: long non-coding RNA, 312 nt
Organism: Eriocheir sinensis (Chinese mitten crab)
Lineage: Eukaryota; Metazoa; Arthropoda; Malacostraca; Decapoda; Varunidae
Exons: 3
Source: RefSeq, a predicted model, not a curated record